CCCUUAGAUGUUCUGGGCCGCACGCGCGCUACACUGACGAAGUCAGCGAGCAUGUCCUACGCCGACAGGUGCGGGGAAUCUUGUCAAACUUCGUCGUGAUGGGGAUUGAUUAUUGAAAUUCUUGAUCAUCAACGAGGAAUUCCUAGUAAGCGCAAGUCAGCAGCUUGCGUUGAUUACGUCCCUGCCCUUUGUACACACCGCCCGUCGCUACUACCGAUUGAAUGGUUUAGUGAGAUCUUCGGAUUGGCGCCACUGCGGCUCAGCAAUGGGCUCGGUGGAUGCCGAAAAGUUGAUCAAACUUGAUCAUUGAGAGGAAGUAAAAGGCGUAACA
Molecule: ribosomal RNA, 331 nt
Filed under: uncultured eukaryote
Lineage: Eukaryota
Description: partial 18S ribosomal RNA
Rfam family: Eukaryotic small subunit ribosomal RNA
Source: RNAcentral